GGCGCCUGGGAGAAGUCGGGUGACUCUUGGCGCUUCGUGCGCGACGGCGCCGCCAAGACCGGCUGGUUCAACGCCGGCGGCCGCUG
This 86-nucleotide transfer RNA is filed under the name Actinomyces sp. ICM58. Its description in RNAcentral is "tRNA-Thr". The record is from RNAcentral. Lineage: Bacteria; Bacillati; Actinomycetota; Actinomycetes; Actinomycetales; Actinomycetaceae.